GGCUCAGCAGCCUGCGCCGCCUGGGCCUAGUCUACUUCCUCUACCUCUUCCUGUUCUCGGGCCUGGAGUACACGCUGAGCUUCCUCACACACCAGCGCUUCCAGUUCAGUAGGUGGGUCCCCAUCUGGCGACGGCCUGCUGUCUCCCUGAAAUAACGCCCCUGCUUCAGGGAAGCAACCCCCAUCCCCAGGAAGCCUUGGCAGCCACUCUCGCCCUGGCCCUGCCCUGGGUGGCCCUGCCCCGGGUGCCCUGCACUAACACACCCGCUCCCAGCCUACAGCAGGGGAAGAUGUUUUUCCUCAUCGGCCUCACCAUGGCCACCAUCCAGGGUGCCUAUGCCCGGCGGAUCCACCCUGGCGGGGAAGUUGCUGCCGUGAAGCGGGUAGGGGGCUCCCUCCAAAGCGGGUGGCAGGCAGUCCCCUGAGCCCUGCAGGGCACGGGCUGUGCUGAGGCUGCCGUGCCCACCUGCAGGCCCUCCUGCUGCUGGUGCCUGCCUUCCUCCUCAUCGGCUGGGGACGUUCUCUGCCCGUGCUGGGCCUGGGGCUGCUGCUCUACUCCUUUGCCGCCGCCGUUGUGGUGCCCUGCCUGUCCUCCGUGGUCGCUGGCUAUGGUGAGCCCCCUUUCCCUCGGCCGAAGCCACCUGAGCGGGAGAAGGGCAGUGGUGCCUGACUGUGCCUCUUCCCACAGGCUCACCAGGG
RNAcentral lists this small RNA (698 nucleotides) under Pan troglodytes (chimpanzee). RNAcentral describes it as "retained intron". Lineage: Eukaryota; Metazoa; Chordata; Mammalia; Primates; Hominidae. The record is from RNAcentral.